This 331-nucleotide unclassified non-coding RNA is filed under the name soil metagenome. Its description in RNAcentral is "partial contains 5.8S ribosomal RNA, internal transcribed spacer 2, and large subunit ribosomal RNA". The stretch from base 1 to 120 matches the Rfam family "5.8S ribosomal RNA", at positions 35 to 154 of the family's 154-position model. The record is from RNAcentral.
GAUGAAGAACGUAGUAAAAUGCGAUAAGUAAUGUGAAUUGCAGAAUUCAGUGAAUCAUCGAAUCUUUGAACGCACAUUGCGCCCGCCAGUAUUCUGGCGGGCAUGCCUGUUCGAGCGUCAUUUCAACCCUCAAGCACAGCUUGGUGUUGGGACUCGCGUUAAUUCGCGUUCCCCAAAUUGAUUGGCGGUCACGUCGAGCUUCCAUAGCGUAGUAGUAAAACCCUCGUUACUGGUAAUCGUCGCGGCCACGCCGUUAAACCCCAACUUCUGAAUGUUGACCUCGGAUCAGGUAGGAAUACCCGCUGAACUUAAGCAUAUCAAUAACGGAGGA